CCUACGGGCGGCAGCAGUAGGGAAUCUUCCACAAUGGGCGAAAGCCUGAUGGAGCAACGCCGCGUGGGUGAAGAAGGUCUUCGGAUCGUAAAACCCUGUUGUUAGAGAAGAAAGUGCGUGAGAGUAACUGUUCACGUUUCGACGGUAUCUAACCAGAACGCCACGGCUAACUACGUGCCAGCAGCCGCGGUAAUACGUAGGUGGCAAGCGUUAUCCGGAUUUAUUGGGCGUAAAGGGAACGCAGGCGGUCUUUUAAGUCUGAUGUGAAAGCCUUCGGCUUAACCGGAGUAGUGCAUUGGAUACUGGGAGACUGGAGUGCAGAAGAGGAGAGUGGAACUCCAUGUGUAGCGGUGAAAUGCGUAGAUAUAUGGAAGAACACCAGUGGCGAAAGCGGCUCUCUGGUCUGUAACUGACGCUGAGGUUCGAAAGCGUGGGUAACAAACAGGAUUAGAUACCCGGGUAGUC
Molecule: ribosomal RNA, 465 nt
Filed under: uncultured bacterium
Lineage: Bacteria
Description: partial 16S ribosomal RNA
Rfam family: Bacterial small subunit ribosomal RNA
Source: RNAcentral